This 309-nucleotide ribosomal RNA is filed under the name Triticum aestivum (bread wheat). RNAcentral describes it as "partial small subunit ribosomal RNA". Lineage: Eukaryota; Viridiplantae; Streptophyta; Magnoliopsida; Poales; Poaceae. The record is from RNAcentral.
GUCACUUUCCGUGAGUUCAAAGGGGAUCGAGGUGAGGUUGGCUUCCUGGAGUUCAUCUUCCAGAGUGCGCGGGCGCUGGAGAUGGUAGCUAUUUUCAUGGCCAGUCCAAGCUUCACACCGUUCUCGAUGGACGAGGCACUUGUCAAGGUGCAAUACAGCGCUAGAAACCUGGCAAGUAAAUCCUGCAAAAAGUGCAUCAUCUGGAGUUGCCGUCCUGAAGGCGGCGAUCCUUGGAGCCUCAGAGUCGGGGCCGAUUUCUCCUUCGAGGACCCGUUCACGGUGAGGUCGGUGAGGGAGGAGGACAGCUGA